Molecule: transfer RNA, 76 nt
Filed under: bacterium
Lineage: Bacteria
Also listed under: 2 other names
Description: tRNA-Ala
Rfam family: tRNA
About the family: Transfer RNA (tRNA) molecules are approximately 80 nucleotides in length. Their secondary structure includes four short double-helical elements and three loops (D, anti-codon, and T loops).
Source: RNAcentral
GGGCCGGUAGCUCAGUUGGUAGAGUACCUGAAUGGCAUUCAGGGGGUCAUGGGUUCGAAUCCCUUCCGGUCCACCA